UAUGGGAAUUUAAUUAGGAGCAACGAUGAUUUAAAAAAAAAUGAUUCUAUAGAUUUUGAUGUUAUUCAUGUCAUUUCUUUUUACUAUUUUUCGUAUGCCUAGACUUUUGUGCACACUUGUAUACUAAACACACAUACUUAAGCAUCAUUCAUACAUAUGCAUACUCAUAGUGAUGCACAAAUUGUGCAUUUAUAUUAAACAUAU
Molecule: long non-coding RNA, 204 nt
Filed under: Carica papaya (papaya)
Lineage: Eukaryota; Viridiplantae; Streptophyta; Magnoliopsida; Brassicales; Caricaceae
Description: long non-coding RNA (CPAP_LNC006912)
Source: RNAcentral